Molecule: long non-coding RNA, 346 nt
Organism: Carassius carassius (crucian carp)
Lineage: Eukaryota; Metazoa; Chordata; Actinopteri; Cypriniformes; Cyprinidae
Exons: 2
Source: RefSeq, a predicted model, not a curated record
GGAUGUGCAAGGGUUUUGACCUCUGUCUGGUUUAUAUUACUCUCUGGGGCAGUUUACUCUACAAAUGAGUCACCUGCUGUCUGGGCCGUAGUCUGAGUGACCACUAAAGACUGAUGGAGGGUUUCAGAUUACACUCCUGUGGUAGCAGACUGGUACCAGAGUUUCGAGGAGGACGCUGGCCUGAUGCCAGCUAGGUGCAUGCUGGGAGUCCAUGCAGGGGAGACACUCCGACGCCACCCUGCUGAGAGCCGAUAGGAUUACUGUUUACAUUAAGCUCCAUGGGAAACGGCUUUCAUUGAGGGUGUGUGAGCUACAGUGUUAAGUCACACACACACACACACACACA